RNAcentral lists this long non-coding RNA (2250 nucleotides) under Helianthus annuus (common sunflower). RNAcentral describes it as "hypothetical non coding rna". The record is from RNAcentral. Lineage: Eukaryota; Viridiplantae; Streptophyta; Magnoliopsida; Asterales; Asteraceae.
AUGAAAUUGUAUACGUGUAAUUUAACAAUAAAUGUUGACAAGCUGAAGCUUUCCUUUGCCUACUUCUCUUUUUUCACAAACUCACGCCCUACCUCUCUGAUCUUCAUAUAAUUCUAUUUUCCUUUAAUAUUUCACUCCAAAACCUUGCCCUGUUUUAAGUGUUUUAACCCCUGAUCACUGAUGUCCUGUCCGUUUGACGUAGGGCCCCGUAACGAAUGUCAAGACUCUGCCGACUAAGUUCGUUGAAGUUCUGUCUCGUGACAUAGGGAUAAAGUUAAAUUGGGUUACUAUGCUUAACAGAGUACAUUAUAUAUUUUAUUAAAUAUCAACCUUCCUAAAACACCCCUGCACAUCCUAAAAUAUACCCCGAAUGCAAUAAACGAGCCCGUAUACCUUUAUUUUAAUAAAAAUCAAAUAAAAAUAAUUUCUAAGGGUUCUCGCAGGCCGCGACCCAUCUCCCUGGGUUUGUCGCGAGGCACGACAUAGUGACACCAGGCGGAACCCGCUUGCGCCACGUGUCCCAACGCGUGUGAAGGCUACUCGGGUGACUCGCCAAGCCUACAACCUAACCUACAUAGCUCGCGGGCCGCGUAAGACUGCCCUUGAGCUUUCGCGGGGCGCGACAAAGUGCCGAUCAGGCACUAUAAAUAGAGGAUGACGGCGUCAGUUGUCAAAUCGUUCAAAUCUCGAUCUCUCUCUCAAUUUUCUGCAUAGCAAAUAUUAGAUCAAGCAUUAUACCCCCCUAAAUCGCGAAGCUCUACCUCGUUAUUAUAACCAGGAAGCCACAAAGGAAAUACCUAAAGUAGCAUUGUAACUUAGUGUGAAGCCAAUAAAAGCCAGCUGGAGAGCACUGAAGGCUUAGAAAAGUGGCUAUAAAAGUUACCUAAAUAAAAAGAAGAUUUUAUUUUCAAUAAUUAGGGUUGUCCCUACAAACACGUUUAUAAUGGAAAUUUGGGUUUCUCCCAUGUAUGUAUUAUUAUAAAAAAUAUGGUGUUUUACUCUGAUAAAAUAUUUCCUAACUACGGUCCUGAUGAAAAUUUCCGCUGCCAAAUUAAUAAACACCGAUACCACUGAAACUGGCCACGGCCGCCCGUUCCUGGGUUGUUAGGGAACGGGGGUUGUGACAGAAGGUGGUAUCAGAACCACUGGUUUAAGCCAUCUAGGUGUUCUUUUAAUACCUAAAACUUAAACCCUAUGUUAGGAAAUUAAUGUGACAAAUUAAGUGUUAUUCUGUGUAGAUAAAUAUUAAUAUUUAUGUUAUGAUUUUUAUGUUUUGAGUCCACAGUAUGAAUGACCAAUAUGAUUAGAUGUACCCAUAGACUAAGAAACCAUAAGUUACAUCCCUUCAUAAAUAAAUGAAUAUAGAUUUAUGUUUUGAGUCCACAUUAUUAUGUUACACUCUUAUACAAUUAGUAACUUAGGAAACCACCUUAAGUUACAUCCCUUCAUAAAUAAAUGAAUAUAGAUUUUAUCCUGCAUUCAUUAAACUACAAAAAUCUAAUCUAAAAUAUUGUUUUCGCUACUAGAAAUAUCCGAUUUUUGUACUUUAAAAAUAUGAUUUAAUUUAUUCCAGUAAAACAUAACACCAAUCCAUGGGAAGAACCCCCACCUUGACAUGUCAUAUAAAGAUGUUUCAAAAAAAAAAAAAAAAAAAAAAAAAAUCUAUGAGUAUCUUUCAUAGUUAUCUAGUUAAGAACACUAAAACUAAGUUAUUAAAUAAAUAGAAAAUUUACUUUUACUAUUAUUCUUAGCUAAUUUUAUCAAAAUUCUUAACUAGUACAGAUGCUAGUUAUUCUUUAUCAAAAUUCUUAAUAUACAAAGAAAUAUAAAAUAAUAGUUAUUUCACAACUUUGGUUUCUGGGGAAAAAAGGAAAAUAUGUAAGAUGCGUAUAUAACUUUCUAUAGUACCAGUUAAUUUUUUAUAUAUAUCAUUAUCUCUUCACCACCAAAUUGUACUGCCUUAUAUUUUUAAUAAAAUUUUAGUUACUUAAAUAGCAUCUAUUGUAUACAAAAAUAUUUUCUUUAAAAAGAGGGUUGAAAUUUAACAACUUUUAAACUCGUAUUUUAGAAAGGGGAUAUAGUUAGUAUAAAAAAAAGAGGGAAUACAUUUAGCCUACCUCUAAAUAUUAUGCAUUUUUGUUACCCUAAAUUCAUUUGACACCACUACCUUUUAGUUGAAAGAUGUUUGAAGACAUAGGUAUGCCUUGUGUUGCUUGGUUUUUAAGGUCAUCACAUGCUAAAGUCAGGUAC